This 253-nucleotide ribosomal RNA is filed under the name uncultured prokaryote. Its description in RNAcentral is "partial 16S ribosomal RNA". It matches the Rfam family "Bacterial small subunit ribosomal RNA", at positions 525 to 777 of the family's 1533-position model. The record is from RNAcentral.
ACGAAGGUGGCAAGCGUUGUUCGGAUUCACUGGGCGUACAGGGAGCGUAGGCGGUUUGGUAAGUGGGAUGUGAAAUGCCUCGGCUCACCCGAGGACCGGCAUCCCAAACUGCCAAGCUUGAGUAUGGGAGAGGAUGUGGGAAUUCCUGGUGUAGCGGUGAAAUGCGUAGAUAUCAGGAGGAACACCGGUGGCGAAGGCGCACAUCUGGCCCAAUACUGACGCUGAGGCGCGAAAGCUAGGGGAGCAAACGGGA